Molecule: non-coding RNA, 794 nt
Organism: Arachis ipaensis
Lineage: Eukaryota; Viridiplantae; Streptophyta; Magnoliopsida; Fabales; Fabaceae
Source: RefSeq, a predicted model, not a curated record
UGUUUUUACUAUCCUCUGCAGGUAGCUUCUACCGAGGUACAAGUGUCCAAAUGGCUAAGAUUUCAGCACAUAAUCUUUAUAUAAAACAAACCAUACUUACAUUACCUUCAUUCAAUCAAAAGAACUGAUUUCUGUUUUAGCUUCAGGUACGUAUAGUUACUCUAUUCCUCUCUGCAAUUUACUUCAGGUUGCAGAAUAUGGCAGGAGAAAAGCUUUCUUUUUCUGUUACUAUUUCAAAUUCAACACUGUCCUUUGCCCAGCAAACGCUACAAGAAGAAGAGUUGCAGCUAAACUCUUUAUGAAGAUUUUCCAGGGGAAUCAACAAAUAGAUAACUGCUAUGGUCGAGGAUCUACUUUUUUAUGGAUUCAACCUUUAAAAUGUGCAUUAGGCAGCUUCUGUGGCAAUUGCAACUUGGUGAGCAUGUUAUGAUCAUUUUCCUUUGUGUGAGGCCCAAGCCAACACUUUUUGGAGAGUCCCUCUACAUCACAAUUAGUGUAUUAACCUGAACAAAUGAAUAAUGAUCGGAUGGUUAAAUUCUUUUCUGGUUUACUUGGAGUUCUUCACUCAUAGUCCUUCAACUUUGAGGUGUGAUUGCAAUCCGAGCUCUCUAGCCAAAAAGUUCGUAAGCAACAGUCGCCUAUUGUAUCAUUGAUUUCACCAUUUAGUUUAUGCCUUUAUGUUCUUGUACAAGAGUUCUGCAUGUAUGCUUAGGAGUGCUUGUAAGUUUUGAGACUUGUUUGUAGCUUUGAUUUGGAAAAUAGUGAAAAUUUUUACCUUCCCGUGGUUUUUUUUU